This 201-nucleotide unclassified non-coding RNA is filed under the name plant metagenome. Its description in RNAcentral is "partial contains small subunit ribosomal RNA, internal transcribed spacer 1, and 5.8S ribosomal RNA". The record is from RNAcentral.
UCUCCGUUGGUGAACCAGCGGAGGAAUCAUUAUCGAGUUUAUAACUCCCAAACCCUAUGUGAACUUACCACUUGUUGCUUCGGCGCGCGCUUCGGUGCCGCCGAGGACACUGAAACUCUUUGUUUUUAUAAGCAUUUCUGAGUGGCCGAAAGGCAAAAUACAAAUGAAUCAAAACUUUCAACAACGGAUCUCUUGGUUCUG